CAAUAGCGUAUAUUAAAGUUGUUGCAGUUAAAAGGCUCGUAGUCGAAUUUAUGGCUCUGCGAACCUGACCCAUUCUCUAGUAGAAUGAGUGUCUGAGUGCGCAAGUCAUCCUUCUGGAAGACACCUCUGUCCUUGAUUGGAACGGUUGUGAAUUUCAGAUCCUUUACUGUGAGAAAAUCAGAGUGUUCAAAGCGGGCUUUUACGCUUGCAUGGUUCAGCAUGGAAUAAUAAGAUAGGACUUGGGUUCUGUUUUGUUGGCUAUAGGACCAAAGUAAUGAUUGAAAGGGAUAGUUGGGGGUGCUAGUAUUAAACGGUCAGCGGUGAAAUGCAUGGACCCGUUAAAGACUAACUUAUGCGAAAGCAUUCACCAAGGAUAUCUUCUUUGG
Molecule: ribosomal RNA, 386 nt
Filed under: uncultured eukaryote
Lineage: Eukaryota
Description: partial 18S ribosomal RNA
Rfam family: Eukaryotic small subunit ribosomal RNA
Source: RNAcentral